This 301-nucleotide ribosomal RNA is filed under the name uncultured bacterium. Its description in RNAcentral is "partial 16S ribosomal RNA". It matches the Rfam family "Bacterial small subunit ribosomal RNA", at positions 509 to 807 of the family's 1533-position model. The record is from RNAcentral.
CAGUAGCCGCGGUAAUACGUAUGGUGCAAUCGUUAAUCGGAAUUACUGGGCGUAAAGCGUGCGCAGGCGGUUAUAUAAGACAGAUGUGAAAUCCCCGGGCUCAACCUGUGAACUGCAUUUGUGACUGUAUAGCUAGAGUACGGCAGAGGGGGAUGGAAUUCCGCGUGUAGCAGUGAAAUGCGUAGAUAUGCGGAGGAACACCGAUGGCGAAGGCAAUCCCCUGGGCCUGUACUGACGCUCAUGCACGAAAGCGUGGGGAGCAAACAGGAUUAGAUACCCCCGUAGUCCCUGUCUCUUAUAC